This 284-nucleotide long non-coding RNA is filed under the name Homo sapiens (human). RNAcentral describes it as "non-protein coding lnc-ASF1A-5:3". The record is from RNAcentral. Lineage: Eukaryota; Metazoa; Chordata; Mammalia; Primates; Hominidae.
AUGGCUUACAUCUUAAAUGGACAAGUGUUGGACAGCAGAGUCCAUCUCCCUGGAGUUUAUCUUUGAUAACAGAUUUCUUCUGAAGAAUAGCCAAGUUUGUGAUUUUGUUUUUCAAAACUCUACUUCAGCAACAUGUGAAGAAAAGAAGAGGCUAUGGAAACACAUCUGAUUCCAGAUAUGAUCAUGGAAGACAGCCACCAGGAAACCCUCUGGGGAAAACAGGUCAAAUCAAUCAUCUGCAUCUCCCCAGUCCUCCCCCAAAGGCUGGUGGAUGAGGAAGGUAA